Rhododendron vialii is the source of this 1555-nucleotide long non-coding RNA. RefSeq lists it as uncharacterized. The record is from RefSeq and is a predicted model, not a curated record. NCBI's taxonomy places the organism in Eukaryota, Viridiplantae, Streptophyta, Magnoliopsida, Ericales, Ericaceae. The transcript is spliced from 2 exons.
UUGUGACUCUACUCUUUUUCCUAUUUCUUUCCCGACCUUAAUACAUAUUUCCGUCUUAUGGUACAGGAUUAGAUUCCUAGACCAUCGUAGAGUUUUUGGCUGUGUUCUCAAGAUAGUAGUCUUAGAUAGCUUGAUGUACAUGGUUGGGCCCAUUUCCUGACAGCUUAAGCUUUGUGGACUACUGGUAACUUGACAUGGUAUCAGAGCUCUCUGGUUGUGAGAGGUCUUGGGUUCAAGUCUCUCUGUUUGCAUUUGCAUUCUGUUCUUCUUCGUAUUCUGUUUUCACUCUAUCUAUGAAAAUUUGCAUCUCCACGUGCAAGAUGGGGUUGCAUGUGAGGGAGGGUGUUAGAUAGCUUGAUAUACAUGAUUGGGUCCAUUUCCUAACAGCUUAAGCUGUUGGGACUGCUGGUAACUUGACAAAAAGUUGUAACAGUGAUUCUAUAUUCUCAAUACACAUUAGUAACAGCGCUUGUUUACCGCCAAUUAUGUGCUUAUUAAGAAUAGUGGAUCACUAUUGCCAUUUAAUGUUCGCUUUCCCUUUUAGUAAUUCCUUUCUUCUUCAGUGAAACAGUACACUAGAGAUAUGUGACUUAUGCAUGGGUAACAAUAAAAAUCUUGAAAAUGACUAUUCUGAUAAGGUGGAGCGUGUUCAGAACUUAUAUAAUUAGGGAUUAUUUUUGCAGUAUAUGGGAUUUCCACAUCUUUUGGUUUUGAAACUGAUCUUGUUGUUCAUCUUGCUCAACACGUGAAAACCGUACUACAAACUUAAGAUUGAAAAGUUAAUGAAUUAUCGUAGGAUCAAUGCCUAAGAGAUCUGAUCAUGUGAUUUCCAGGAAAUGAAAUAUCGUAGGAUCAAUGCCUAAGAGAUCUGAAUCCUGAUCACGUGAUUUCCAGUUUACUUUUGUAAAACUUGUUAUAAGAUUUGCAUGCCAUGAGAGCCAUGAGCGUUGAAUGACCCAAAGCGACAUAUUUUUCGUUAUGUCUGGAUUUAAAUGUAAAAUGGAUUUGAGUGUUGCAAUAGCUCUCACAAAUGAUAAAUAUAAGAAGAUGAUUUUACCGAGAUUUACAAAUAUUCUCAAUCAAAGUAUCCUUGUCAACACCAUUGCUUUUUCGUACAACUUUUACCUUUCAAUGGAUCAUCGGUAUUAUGUGCUUAUAUCUUCAAUUUAUUUGAAUCUCGUAUCCUUGCAUCAUAUGCUCUUUGUUUCACUGUGGUUCUCUAUUGUCUAGUUUGCUAUGAAGCACAACACUCCUAAAGGUCGCCAUAUCAGUGUCCGACACACCGGGGACAUGGAUAAAAAUGUAUCGGGCGCACCACAUGGCAUGUCCAUUGAAUUUAAUUAAAUUUUUAAGGGGGACACAGUGGGUACACGUAUGGGGACACGACAGGGGUCAAAUACUCAAUUUUUUUAGGGUAAAUGGGUAUUAUUCAAAUGUUGUGUUAAAGUGUAAUAUGAGGUGUAUAUGAUGCUUUUAUAUACUUAUUGAUGCUUUAUACUUCUUCAUAGAACUAUAUUUCCACUAGUUUAAAAUGAAUAUUACUUAUUUAUUUUUA